GCGCGAAAACUUUACAAUGCCGGCAACAGCGAUAAGGGAACCUCGAGUGCCAGGUUACAAAUCUGGCUGUCGAGAUGCCUAAAAAGCAUUUCAUAGCAAGGGCCGGGCAAGACCGGUGCCAGCCGCCGCGGUAACACCGGCGGCUCGAGUGGUAAUCGUUAUUAUUGGGUCUAAAGGGUCUGUAGCCGGCCGGAUAAGUCUCUUGAGAAAUCUGGCAGCUUAACUGUCAGGCUUUCAGGAGAUACUGUCUGGCUCGAGGCCGGGAGAGGUGAGAGGUACUUCAGGGGUAGGGGUGAAAUCUUGUAAUCCUUGAAGGACCACCAGUGGCGAAGGCGUCUCACCAGAACGGACCUGACGGCAAGGGACGAAAGCUAGGGGCACGAACCG
RNAcentral lists this ribosomal RNA (387 nucleotides) under uncultured bacterium. Its description in RNAcentral is "bacterial SSU rRNA". It matches the Rfam family "Archaeal small subunit ribosomal RNA", at positions 339 to 726 of the family's 1478-position model. The record is from RNAcentral.